UUGUACAAUCGAGCAUAGAAAAACCUUUCAGAACAACGCAAAAAGUUGAAAUAUUAGAUGCCAAAAUUUUAGUAGCGAGACUCCCGAUGAGCCUCUUCUCACAAAUAAGUAUGCGUUUAAUAAGUAAUUUAGUACUUGCGUUUUUGGUAGCGAUAAGCGAGUUCGAUCAAAACUUUGCCAUAAACUAUGACAAUGCCGGAAUAGUUCUGAGGGAAAUAAAUAAGAGGAGAGAUCGUCAUGGGGUCCCAAAAUUGGCUUUGGACAACGUGUUCAGCAAAGAGUGCCAAAGUUAUGCUGGGAAACUUUCCAAGUCGACGAAUAUUUCCUAUUCGGACCCCACCAACAAGGAUUACACAGAAAGCAUCUGCAAAUUUGAAGUGAAGAGGGGCGCACUUUCAAGGUGUGUCAAGAACUGGUAUAAUGGUAGAAAAUUCGAUAUUUUAGACCCGAGGGCUAAAGAUUUUACUGCCAUGAUUUGGAGGUCUUCAGUUUCCAUGGGUUAUGGCGACGCUAACAUAAAUGCUCUAGAAGGCGUUUUCGUGGUCAGAUAUACUCCACCUGGGAAUGUGAAAGGAUUAUUCACGGAUAAUGUUCCCCCCAAGAAACGAAGAAAGAAAAGGAAAAAGAAAAAGCAUAAGCAUAAAAAGAAACAUUCCAGAGACUGUGCCAAUCGUCAGGAUAAUCGAUAUGCCAUAUUGUUGUCAAUUCUUUUUUUGGUGUCUACUAUUUGGCAAAUUUAAUGUCUACUAUCUGGCAAACUAGCUAAUCAUAGUCUUAAUAAUAGAACCAAAAAUAACCCUCCUUGCCAAAGAAAAUGAUUAGUUUUUUCUGCUUUGGCACUUCGUAGGCACCGAACGCUCGUACAUGUUCCCUGAUUCGGACCGCAUUGAUGGCGAUAAAUCCACCCGCAUCCUGCGGCACA
Drosophila teissieri is the source of this 922-nucleotide RNA transcript. It is a transcript of the gene named Golgi-associated plant pathogenesis-related protein 1, with no coding region annotated. Lineage: Eukaryota; Metazoa; Arthropoda; Insecta; Diptera; Drosophilidae. The transcript has 6 exons. The record is from RefSeq and is a predicted model, not a curated record.